Oncorhynchus tshawytscha (Chinook salmon) is the source of this 1048-nucleotide long non-coding RNA. RefSeq lists it as uncharacterized. The record is from RefSeq and is a predicted model, not a curated record. The transcript is spliced from 3 exons. Lineage: Eukaryota; Metazoa; Chordata; Actinopteri; Salmoniformes; Salmonidae.
AUUAUAGACUGUCUGAAUGGAGGAGUAGGUAAAGACAUGACAGAUUAUAGACUGUCUGAAUGGAGGAGUAGGUAAAGACAUGGCAGAUUAUAGACUGUCUGAAUGGAGGAGUAGGUAAAGACAUGACAGAUUAUAGACUGUCUGAAUGGAGGAGUAGGUAAAGACAUGACAGAUUAUAGACUGUCUGAAUGGAGGAGUAGGUAAAGACAUGGCAGAUUAUAGACUGUCUGAAUGGAGGAGUAGUUAAAGACAUGGCAGAUUAUAGACUGUCUGAAUGGAGGAGUAAGUAAAGACAUGGCAGAUUAUAGAAUGUCUGAAUGGAGGAGUAGGUAAAGACAUGGCAGAUUAUAGACUGUCUGAAUUGGAGGAGUAGAAUUAAAGACAUGGCAGAUUAUAGACUGUCUGAAUGGAGGAGUAAGUAAAGACAUGACAGAUUAUAGACUGUCUGAAUGGAGGAGUAGGUAAAGACAUGGCAGAUUAUAGACUGUCUGAAUGGAGGAGUAGGUAAAGACAUGACAGAUUAUAGACUGUCUGAAUGGAGGAGUAGGUAAAAACAUGACAGAUUAUAGACUGUCUGAAUGGAGGAGUAGGUAAAGACAUGACAGAUUAUAGACUGUCUGAAUGGAGGAGUAGGUAAAGACAUGACAGAUUAUAGAAAGUGGACUGAGGAUAUUUUUAUGAUUGUUUGACUACAAUUCUUUAUUACUGUUAUUUUACUCUGUAACAGCUGACCUUUCUAACUCUGUAGAGGCCAUAACACCUCCCUAGAAGCCUCUAGGGUUAACGUUUACAGAACAUUUAUUGCUGUUUUAUCAGGGUAUAAAGGUCUGCUUAUCUCACACAGGAUACUAGCCUGUCAGUUAGACAUGUUCUCUGCGUGUGCUGGGUGGUACUAACAAUGUUCAGACAAAUGUACAGUUUGGUUAUUUCUUAUUGUAGCUAAGUAAACUGUGAUUUACAUCUGAAACGAGUCUCUCUGGAGAGAGAGAGGACGAGACCACUGCCUCUAAAAUGAGUCUCUCUGGGGAGAGAGAGGAGGGGACCACUG